CGGGAUGUGGCCUAACGGCUAAGGCGCUUGGUUUGGGACCAAGAGAUUGUGGGUUCGAAUCCCACCAUCCCGA
RNAcentral lists this transfer RNA (73 nucleotides) under Candidatus Parcubacteria bacterium. RNAcentral's name for it is "tRNA-Pro". It matches the Rfam family "tRNA". Rfam says of the family: Transfer RNA (tRNA) molecules are approximately 80 nucleotides in length. The record is from RNAcentral. Lineage: Bacteria; Candidatus Parcubacteria.